This 465-nucleotide ribosomal RNA is filed under the name uncultured bacterium. RNAcentral's name for it is "SSU rRNA". It matches the Rfam family "Bacterial small subunit ribosomal RNA", at positions 26 to 518 of the family's 1533-position model. The record is from RNAcentral.
AGGAUUAACGCUGGCGGCGUGCCUAACACAUGCAAGUCGAACGAGGUAGCAAUACCUAGUGGCAGACGGGUGAGUAACGCGUGGUCAACCUACCGUUGAGUGGGGGAUAACUAGCCGAAAGGUUAGCUAAUACCGCAUACGAGUCUACGGGGGCAUCCCUGGGCCUUAAAAGGAGCAAUCCGCUCGAUGACGGGACCGCGUCCCAUUAGCUAGAUGGUGGGGUAACGGCCUACCAUGGCACCGAUGGGUAGCUGGUUUGAGAGAGCGACCAGCCACACUGGGACUGAGAAACGGCCCAGACUCCUACGGGAGGCAGCAGUGAGGAAUUUUCCGCAAUGGGCGAAAGCCUGACGGAGCGACGCCGCGUGUGGGAAGAAGGCCUUCGGGUCGUAAACCACUGUCGAAGGGGACGAUAAUGACGGUACCCUUGGAGGAAGCCCCGGCUAACUACGCGCCAGCAGCCGC